AGGUACUUAAAUAAAUCAAAAAGGAAAUUAUCUUUGUGUUAAUGAUUUUUCUUUUCAUAUUAAUAGUGCUUAACUAACAUUUCCCUCUGGAUGUCCGGUCAGACUGGAUAAAGGAGCAUCCUACCCUUCCCAGGACAGACUAGUCAGCCUCUUCAGUCCAACUAAAAACCAAGGAGGCCAAAUGUGAAGUCAGCGUGGGACAAAAGAGAUUCAAGCAGGAGUCAUGAAAGCAUGGAGAGCUGUGUCUCAGGAAAGGCAACGCUAAUGGAGGUGGGUCAGAUGGGAACUGCAAGCAAACAGGGAGGCAUGGAGGCUCCUGCCACAGCCUGUGAAACAGUGAAUGAAAUGCAGCCUCAAUGAAGGCAAUGGUGCUGUGGUGAAGAGGAGGAGGCAGAUUCUCAUGCUGUUGGACAGGAUACGUGUCCAGGGGGAAGUGGACAGUGAAAGAGAGCGGUCAGAAUGUGGGUUUCUGUUUUUCUUGUUCUCCAACACAAACUGCCAGCCACGGCCUACCAGGAUCUUUUCCCAAACACUGCAUGUAACUGAAGAUACCAUGUCUGUUUUCCUCAGUACCCCAGACUGACAUUUCAACAAGUACUUCUCAUCAUGGCUUUUGCAGAAGCUCUGAAAAAGCAUCUGGGGGCAUAACGACAUUAUCAGAUUUUUAGGGUGGAUGAUGGAAAUAGGACAUUUGCUUUAACCCUUCCCAACAACAAAGCAAGAAACCAACGAACUGUCUUCCUACAUCAAUCACGCUGAAUUGAUUCUGAAAUUUAUCUCUUCACAGUGUAUGAGGGGUGAGUGUGGUAAUUCACAAUCACAAAUGCUGCUGGAAUUCAUUGCAAACCUCAACGGCUUGUGCAAUCUAGGCCUAAUCUGGUGGUCCAAUGCCGCUGGUCUUCAUGUUCCAAUGGGGGAUUGGCAGAUCAUAUGGGGUUUUCAGGGCACUGGACAGCCCUGUUUCACAGAAGAGACCUUUCUGUCUGGGAUCCAUGCAUUCCCACAAUUGUUAUGAUCGCUUCAUAGUUCGUAUUCAGAGCCUUCUCGUCUAUUUCCUACUCACUGCACAUGAGUUUAUUAGGCCUUUUCCUGAGGAUAGGAGGAAGCAGAGAACAUUGGGCAGGAAGGAUGGAGAGCAGAGUCUUUAGGCACAGGGUCCUGGAGAUUAGGGACAAACUUUGGCCCCUGACAAUUUUGCAUAAGAUCAGCACUGGCACAAGUCUACCAUGUUGAGGUUAGCCAAUCUGAGUUAACCGAGAACACACAGGGCGAGAAUUACUCGCCUUUUGUUAUUUCUGAAACCUGAACUGCUUUUAGAAAUAAAGGCUGGAAUGUUCCAUAGGAA
Macaca mulatta (Rhesus monkey) is the source of this 1345-nucleotide long non-coding RNA. RefSeq lists it as uncharacterized. Lineage: Eukaryota; Metazoa; Chordata; Mammalia; Primates; Cercopithecidae. The record is from RefSeq and is a predicted model, not a curated record.